GAAAUUAUUCAACUCAUCAACCCUGUGAACUUACCUAAACGUUGCUUCGGCGGGAAUAGACGGCCCUGUAAAACGGGCCGCCCCCGCCAGAGGACCCUUAACUCUGUUUCUUAUAGUGUAUCUUCUGAGUAAAACAAGCAAAUAAAUUAAAACUUUCAACAACGGAUUCUUGGCUCUGGGCAUCGAUGAAGAACGCAGCGAAAAGCGAUAAGUAAUGUGAAUUUUUGCAGAAUUCAGUGAAUCAUCGAAUCUUUGAACGCCAUUGCGCCCGCCAGUAUUCUGGCGGCAUCCCGCCUGUUCGAGCGUCAUUACAACCCUCAGGCCCCCGGGCCUGGCGUUGGGGAUCGGCGGGCGCCCCUCGUGGGCGCCCGCCGUCCCCCAAAUAACAGUGGCGGUCCCGCCGGGCUUCCAUCGCGUAGUAGCUAACCCUCGCGACUGGCAGCGGCGCGGCCACGCCGUAAAACACCCAACUCUUCUGAAGUGACCUCGAAU
RNAcentral lists this unclassified non-coding RNA (492 nucleotides) under Fusarium solani. Its description in RNAcentral is "partial contains ITS1 and 5.8S rRNA". The stretch from base 151 to 308 matches the Rfam family "5.8S ribosomal RNA". The record is from RNAcentral. Lineage: Eukaryota; Fungi; Ascomycota; Sordariomycetes; Hypocreales; Nectriaceae.